UGGGGAAUUUUGGACAAUGGGGGAAACCCUGAUCCAGCCAUCCCGCGUGUGCGAUGAAGGCCUUCGGGUUGUAAAGCACUUUUGGCAGGAAAGAAACGUCAUGGGUUAAUACCCCGUGAAACUGACGGUACCUGCAGAAUAAGCACCGGCUAACUACGUGCCAGCAGCCGCGGUAAUACGUAGGGUGCAAGCGUUAAUCGGAAUUACUGGGCGUAAAGCGUGCGCAGGCGGUUCGGAAAGAAAGAUGUGAAAUCCCAGAGCUCAACUUUGGAACUGCAUUUUUAACUACCGGGCUAGAGUGUGACAGAGGGAGGAGGAAUUCCGCGGGUAGCAGUGAAAUGCGUAGAUAUGCGGAGGAACACCGAUGGCGAAGGCAGCCGCCUGGGAUAACACUGACGCUCAUGCACGAAAGCGUGGGGAGCAAACAGG
Molecule: ribosomal RNA, 429 nt
Filed under: Acidobacteriota bacterium
Lineage: Bacteria; Pseudomonadati; Acidobacteriota
Description: Acidobacteria bacterium partial 16S ribosomal RNA
Rfam family: Bacterial small subunit ribosomal RNA
Source: RNAcentral